RNAcentral lists this long non-coding RNA (818 nucleotides) under Bemisia tabaci. RNAcentral describes it as "lncRNA ENSSWEETPG012027". Lineage: Eukaryota; Metazoa; Arthropoda; Insecta; Hemiptera; Aleyrodidae. The record is from RNAcentral.
AUGGGUACACAGAAUUAUUGGUUCUGUUCUGCGAUUAGCCUCCAAAUUUCUCCAAAAUAUUAUCAAUAUUUUGGCAAGGUGUAUCCACAACACAUCAGUUUCUAAUUAUUACUUACAAUACAAAAUGGUGUUGUUCUAUUGGUGUUGUUAACUCUAUAUAUCUAUAUUUCCUGAAAUUAUUCAUUGUUAGCAUCUGAUGAUUUUUCUUUUUCCAGGGGCUCAAAUGGUGUGCCAAGAAGUCCUACAAGUAUAAAACCAGGAGAGCUUUCAAGUUCUAGCACCGGAAGCGGUGGAGUUUGUGAUCCUGGUUACGACUCGUACUCUCUCUCUUCAACUGAUAGUCUUCCUCUGCAACAAAGUCUCAAGCAUAAUUUACAGCUUGCACAAAUUCCAGAGGGACAUCAAACACCUAUCAAUGGGGUUGGAGCGUAUGCAAAUGGUCUCCCUAACUCCAUAGAUGACUGUGAGCGACUAUGUGCAGAAGCUGAUCAGUGCUUGGUCGUUCUGAAGAAGCUCCAGAUCUAGAAACUGCAUUAUCUUUGGCGAAUGCUGCCGCUGGUAAAGCACGCGCUGCCAUGGACGCCCCAUACAGUAAUCCCCAGACUGCAAGUUUCGCCAGAAUGAAACAUAAUUCCUGCAUUAUGAGAGCACGCAGCCUUCACAGAAAGUUGGAAGAGCCUUUGAAUACCAAACGUAAGUCCUGUUUUUCAGAAUUUUUUGAUAUAUUGGAUGGUUGACCUCCCCUUGUUAUGUUGUUGAUUUUUAAAUUUCAUCCUACUUUUAUGAUUAAAAAUAAUUCUGCAAGUUCCAUGCCUGUU